Long non-coding RNA from Capsicum annuum, 704 nucleotides. RefSeq lists it as uncharacterized. The record is from RefSeq and is a predicted model, not a curated record. The transcript has 2 exons. NCBI's taxonomy places the organism in Eukaryota, Viridiplantae, Streptophyta, Magnoliopsida, Solanales, Solanaceae.
UAUGGAAUCUGAUAGAGUGAGAUCUUUAGUAAGCAUUAAAUUUUUUUUUUAUCUUAAAGAAAUAAUUAAUCGAAAUAAUGAGUCAUUGUUGAUAUCGACACAUCCGAGAUCAUCAAAUGCUUAAGAGCUCCUCUAUUCAAUUCUUUUUAUUUUUAUUGCUGGAUAUCUCAUUUGUACAGAUCUUUUCUUUGUUUCUCGAGCCUGAAUGUAUUAGUAAUAUAAAAAUCAAUUAUGCUAGAAUAUUCAUAAAUUUGGAUAAUUUAUAAGGGUGAAGAAGAAGAAGCAUAUAUGGCAACAUCUUUCCCAAUGAGUGAUGAUGAUAGUGUUUAUAGCUACUCAAAAAACUCCCAAAUUCAGAUCGGAUGACAUGGUUCUCGAGGUGAUUGGUUGAGUUUUGACUCGUUUUGGAACGCUUUAGAGUUAAAUGGUCAACUUUGAUGGAUAUUCAAAGACCAAAGAGUUGCGUGAAAAUUUUGUCAGUUUCAUUAGGUUUGAAUCAUCAAUUUUGGAUUAGUAGCAUAGUUGAUUUGAAUUCUGAGGCUUUUUGUGUGAUUUUGAGCAUCUGAACGAGAUGUUGAAAAGUUAAAGGUCUAGAGCUGACUUCGGUCAAUAUCGGUUGAUAACAAUCAUCAUUGAAAAUUCUGACUACUUCACUGAAUCUGCAAUAUCGAAUUUGAUCUAAUAGUAUAGUUGAAUUGUGUUUA